Molecule: ribosomal RNA, 253 nt
Filed under: uncultured bacterium
Lineage: Bacteria
Description: partial 16S ribosomal RNA
Rfam family: Bacterial small subunit ribosomal RNA
Source: RNAcentral
UACGAGGGGUGCAAACGUUAUUCGGAAUUACUGGGCGUAAAGGGCAUGUAGACGGCAUUUUAAGUCAAUUGUUAAAUUCCCCGGCUUAACUGGGGGUAGGCGAUUGAAACUAAAAAGCUAGAGGAUGGAAGAGAGAAGUGGAAUUCUCGGAGUAGCGGUAAAAUGCGUAGAUCUCGAGAGGAACACCGAUGGCGAAGGCAGCUUCUUGGUCCAUAUCUGACGUUGAGAUACGAAAGCGUGGGGAGCAAACCGG